UUAAAAAUAUUUUUUUUUCUAUAUAGAAAAUAUUGAACUACUGUCAUGAUGAAAAAAAUCAUCACUUGGAACAGUUUAAAUAGAUAUUAUUCUGUGAUUCAAAUUAUCAGCUUGAAGAUAAUCUUCCAUUUUGAGAGUGUUUACGCCAAGCAGUGAUUGAUUAACCAAAGUAGUAGUAAAUGGUAGUAAGGAUACUGUGUUGUCAAACAAGUCAAAGAGAAAUUACUUCUCUUCAAUAUAAAACUCUGGCAUUCAGGAGUACUGUUUGGAACACUUCUGCAAUACUGGGGCUCAUCAAGAGGAUACAUGACUGGUACAUAUGAUUAAUCUACUGACUGAUUAUAUGUCUCAAGUGUACUCUUAUGCCUUCCAAAAUUUCAAGACAAUUUCACUGUCCUAAAACUUUAUAACAAUCACUGCUUGUUUCCAAAAUCUGAGAAGUUUAGCUAUGCUUUUACGAAUGCCAUUGUGGGCCUACUUUUGAAGAUAAAAUUGAGAUCUGGGGGUAGGUUCUGAUUAUGACAAUGACAUCCUAAACUUACAUAGGAGUUAAAAAACAAACAAACAAACAAACAAAACAACAACAACAACAACAACAACAAACCUGAAGAAUAGUGUAAUUACUAUUAUAUACACUAUAUAUAAAACACCUCAGUGAAAUGUAGAGCAAAAAAGAAUUUUGCUACUGACCCUAAUCAGUCUACUGACCCUAAACCUAGAAUUCAUAGACAAUGUCACCAAGUUGCUGCAUGUUGUGGUUUAGAAGGUUUGGAAUUUGCCAUCAAAGAAUGAUGUGACUGUUGUCUAUGACCUGCUGCUCCCUUUACACUUCUCAUCCAUCCUGUUCAGUUGCGUCUAAGUUGGGAAAAUCUUUAGCCUUAUGGCAGAAAGUUUAAAGGGACUUUUUCAAUAUUUAUUGAAAUAUCAUCCUCCAUGCUGCUGUAAAACUGAAAUUAUGCACUAUACAAAAUCACAGCAUCACAGAAUGGUUGAAGUUUGAAGGGACUUCUGAAGAUCAUCUAGUCUAACCCCCUUGCCAAGCAGGAUCACCUAAAGCACAUUUUGCAGGAUGGUGUCAAACAAUCCAUAUUAACAAUCAAACCAUCAUACAAUCCAUAUUAACAACUUUGAUUGUCAGAUCAUAUUCAUGCUUAUCCUGUUUGUUGUUGUUGGUUUGAUUUUCUCUCAGAACAAGAGUUCUGGCACACAAAUAUUCACACAUCACACAAAAUAAAAAGUCUGGAAAACACUAUAAAAUCA
RNAcentral lists this long non-coding RNA (1260 nucleotides) under Anas platyrhynchos platyrhynchos (common mallard). Its description in RNAcentral is "lncRNA (ENSAPLG00000026545.1)". The record is from RNAcentral. Lineage: Eukaryota; Metazoa; Chordata; Aves; Anseriformes; Anatidae.